UACGGGGGGUGCGAGCGUUGUCCGGAAUCACUGGGCGUAAAGGGCGCGUAGGUGGUUUGAUAAGGGUGUGGUGAAAGCCCGGGGCUCAACCCCGGGUCUGCCGUGCCGACUGUCAAACUCGAGGGCUGUAGGGGCAGACGGAAUUCCGGGUGUAGCGGUGGAAUGCGUAGAUAUCGGGAGGAACACCUGUGGCGAAAGCGGCUCACUGGACCGCAACUGACGCUGAGGCGCGAAAGCUAGGGAGCAAC
Molecule: ribosomal RNA, 248 nt
Filed under: uncultured bacterium
Lineage: Bacteria
Description: partial 16S ribosomal RNA
Rfam family: Bacterial small subunit ribosomal RNA
Source: RNAcentral